GGUGAACGCUGCGGCACGCCUUACACAUGCAAGUCGAACGGCAGCACGGGAGCAAUCCUGGUGGCGAGUGGCGAACGGGUGAGUAAUACAUCGGAACGUGCCCAAUCGUGGGGGAUAACGCAGCGAAAGCUGUGCUAAUACCGCAUAAGAUCUACGGAUGAAAGCAGGGGACCGCAAGACCUUGCGCGAAUGGAGCGGCC
Molecule: ribosomal RNA, 200 nt
Filed under: uncultured bacterium
Lineage: Bacteria
Description: partial 16S ribosomal RNA
Rfam family: Bacterial small subunit ribosomal RNA
Source: RNAcentral